CCAUAUGAAACAGUGUCUUUUCCUUACACAAUAUGUGUAUCCAAAUACACACAAAAGUUUUAGAUGAAAUAGCAUUUAAGUACAAAAGCUGAAACUUCGAAGUUUGAGGGUGUUGCUUAGUGGCAGAGUUCUUGCUCAGCAUGAGCAAAGCCCAGAGCUCCAUCCCCAGCACCAAAAGGCAGAGCAAAACACAAGAAAAACCAUACACUCCUUAAAAGAAAACACUGACAUUGAUUGAAUUCCAGAUACAGAAGGGUUUUAUAAACAAAACAGAAUAUGCAAAACAACAAAAAGGAAUGGACAGGUAAUUUGGACCAUGUUAAAAUGAAGAACUUCCGGUCACCAAAAGUCACCAUUAAAGGAGCAAAAGGAUAGAGACUGAGAAAUGAUGUUUAGGUAGCCAAAAGGGAAUAAUAUUACAGGUGCAUGCCUGUGAUCCCAGCACUUGGGAGGCUGAGGCAGGAGGAUCAUCAUGAGUUCAAGACCAGUCUGAACCGUGUAGCAAGAUCCUGUCAUAAAAAAAUUUAAAAAUCCACCAAAUCACUAAGAAAAACACAACAGGAAAAUGAUCAAAAGAUACAAACAGGAAUUUUACAGAACAGUAAAGAUGAACAAAGGAGGUACUGCUGGGGUGUAAAGCACUUGCCUAGCAUGUGCGAGGGCCUGAAGAGAAAGAAAAAAGAAAAUGGAAGGGAGAGAAAUGGCAUAAAAGAUCCUGGCAGAAACUUCCCAAAGAAGAGAUCUGAUUUGCAAAACAGUAUUUGACCGUGCUUGAUGUCAUCCGUCAUUAGGAACGUACAAGUUGAAGCAUUCUAAGAUGGCUCUGCAUAGCGGGUAGAACAGUUAGCACUGGAAGGAAUAUGAGCAGUGCUUGGUGAGAAUAUGCGGCACACCGGGGACACGGGUACACAAGCUGAGGAAGCAGUUUGGCCUGUGCUUGUUCAGUUUAACACUUUUGGAGCCUGACCUGGCACCCUCCCUCUUGGCAUUUAUCCUCAUUUUUGUGAGGGAGUCUGCCGCAAAGCCGGCACAGGCACACGAGUGUUCUGGUGGCUCCAUCCCUAAUGGCCGAGCACUGAGAACAACUGCGAUGGCCGUGCGUGCGGGGCAGGGACAAGCGAGUGCGUUCCUGGGCAGUCAGGCGUGGGCUCCGGGUGAGCAGCAGGAGCGCUGCGGCAGAGGGAGCCACGCUCGGGCGCCCUCCACUGUGCGGUCCCGUGUGCAGGAGCUGCUGGAAGAGACGCAGGUAGGGCUCAGGAAACCCCAGUGCCUGCCGAAGCCAGAGCACGGGAGCAGACCCUCCCCAAAGGGACCUAGACCCUCCUGGGGGCCGAGGCCCACGUUACAGGUAACAAUGGGCUCAGGGGCACAGAAACCGCUGGCUUCAACCUCUCGUCAUCGUGAGCCCUGGGUUCGGGAGGCUCCACUCACUCCGAAGAUCUUUGCCUCCGCUCCUGCCACCCAGAGGCGGUGGUAGCAGCGCCUCAGGAGCCCAUCCUCCUACUCCGCUCUUCCAAACGUGCCCCUGACACCUGGCCACGCGCAGGGCCGAGUCUGUGCCUGAGCACCCCCGGAGCCCGGCCUGGCUGCCUCCGUGUCUCGGGUUCCUGCCCCCUUGGCAGCACGAGGUUGCCCCUGUCCCCUUCACGGGAGAGGGACCGAAGGCCGUCCUAGGCCCUGCGGGGCCUCAGCACUGCGACGCCCGCGGCCCUGGCCCUGAGCCUCACUGAACAAUGACCACGACACUUGGUUCAUACUCGGUGCUCACCAGUUUUGCUUUUUAGAUCCACAAAAAAGACCCGGGAGCAGGAAGAUAAGAAUAGUCCUGAGCUCACAACGCGACUGCGGCUCCUCUGAGGUCUGAGAUUUCCUAUUUCUGGUUAUUCUGUUGGGCUUCCCAGACGACCACAUACCUGAGCCAGAGCAGUACUUAAACUGUUUCGUCCUUUGUCCAUGUGACGCCCAUGCUGACCCUGUGGUAGACAUCGAAGUUUCUACUUGAGGCAGAGAUGUCCGGAGAGCCCAGAACCGAGCCCUAGGAGCCACAUGGCUGGCCCCGCCCAGGAGGGGCCCGACGAGACAGCAGCAACCUUUUUCUCAGGAGGAAAGCCUGAUCCUGUGAGGCCUGAGGACACCCACGGCCCACCCUGACAGCCUCCCAGCGCCCGGCUGGGCGGAGCCUGCUGGUCCCCCGUAGGCGCAGCAGGUGAAAGGCACUUCGCAAACCACAGAGCAGCUCCACAUUCUUUGGCAGUUUCCUGAGAAUGAACUUCAUAUUUUGAAACGGGAAAAAAGGGGGGUAGGAGUUGGGGAAGAAAUGAAAUAGAAAGUAAUCGCUGCCCUUGUGCAAGCACCCCUCCACACACGACUCCAGACACUAAGGAAGUGAGACGAGAUCUUUUUCAUGAAUGGCUUAGCUCAGCCUUUGCAGAGCUCCUCUCUCCCAUUCAGCACAUUCAGGCCUCACCUCUGAGGGUCUGAGGCACUGGCUGAUGGCCCAGGGACAGAGCAGCCUGAGACCGCAGGCGACUGUGUGCGCACAGGGGCCUUCCCUGCAGCGACUGCAGGUCUGAGGUGGGGCUCCGGGCCGGACCCCGGGGAGGCCCAAUUCCAGCAGGCUGCCCUGCUCCUGCAGGCUGCACAGGACCCAGCCUGACGGAGACCUGGGGAAUGCUAAUGCGGCCUGCAAUUGGGUUGGAGAGAGCUGUAGGGUCCUCCCCACAGGGGCUGUGGGGCCAUUAGCUAACUGUGGCGCAGCUGCAGGUGGGAGCUGGGUGAGGAGUGGUAGCAGCAGAAGCCUGGGUUCCCGGGACCUGGGCAGUGGAAAGGCAGCUGGAGGACCUUGAUUUCAUUUUGCUGUGUUUCUGGGCCCUCAAGGGUCAGACGGGGAGAUGGGGCUCCCCAGGGAUGGGCCUGGGCUGUGGCCACAUCUCCUGAGAACCCACAAAGCCAGUAUACCCUCAGGAGGAGAGGGGCUGGCUGCUCCUUGGAGCUCCAGGCCUGGCUGUCACAGACAGGUGGCCCAGGGGAAGGAGGCUGUGGGAGGAGGACAGGGGACCCAAGCUGAGACCAAGGAAGGAAGUGCCUGAGACCCCACCUGGCACUGGUCUCUUUCCCCCUGUCCUGCAGCCCCUCCUGGCAGGGACGAGGGGACAUCACUUCCGUCCCCUCUCAGUGCGCCUCCCGGCCCUCACCCUCGGCCACAGGGGAUCCCCACACACCGGGCCAAGGCAGGGCACGGAUGAGUGACCUUCAGAGUGCUUCCCCACUUCCGGCCGGGAGUCCUCCCCGAAGGCUGAGCCAGGGCAAGGCCGGCAGCCGCAUCCAGCUCUUUGCAGCUACUGGGCCCAGCUCUGGGCGCUGGGAAUGGACUCGGAAAUACCAGUGGGCUUUGUUUGGGUUGUUAAUCACAGCGAAGGAAUGAUGUCCAUUCCUCUGGACUUUCUAGGAAUUUGCUUGCAGCUGGAGUGUCCUGUUCCAGGUCCCCUCGCUAGGAGCCGGGCUGCAAGCAGAGGCCUGGCCUCAGGGAGGGGGUGUGCAGCUCUUGGUGCUGCAGGUGGGCACCCGGGGGAGACCAGGCCGGGGCCCUCUGCUGGGUGCUAACUGGGGCGGCUGCUGUCUGCCCUCCUGGCCUCUCUCACUCUCAGGAGCAGGAGGGAGCUGAGAGUCUCCAGUGCCACUUAGGAGGGACGAAAUCCAGGCGGCAGUGAUGGAGGAGAGGCCCAAGGGCAGCUCUUCGCCAGGCCCGCAGAGGGCUGCCUUCCCCAGCACAGGCCGGGGCCUGCUCAGCUCUCCCUCCUGUGCCUUCCUGUCGCCCUGUUGACAAGGAGGAAACGGAGCCCUGGAGAGAGCAGGAAGUUGCUCCAAGGCUCUGCAGUUAGCAGACAGCAGCCCUGGGGGUCAGGUCCAUUUCUGCCCGGUUUCGGUUUCGCAGAGCAGGGUUUAGCUACCACCUUGAUUUCUGUACAUAGUUUAUUAGCUCAACUUUGGUGAGAACCCGAGGUUAAGUGCUCCCCGAGGGUAAAGACAAUCUCUUACUUUCUUCCCUCUUUAUCUCUACAGUUACCAGGAACGCAUUUCACAAGCAGCUGCUAGAACAUGCUGGGAUGGGGCCUGGAGGCUCCGGGGCAGGAAGGACCCCCAGUCUGCAGCAGCACCGCCUCCAGGCCUGCUGCCGGGCCUGGCCUCUCCAAAACCUACAGGCUUGCCCUCUGGAGCGCCUCUGCACCCCCAGCGCCUUGUGUUCAGUGCUGCAACCAAAGGAGUGGUCCUUUGCUUGCUAGUGGAGUUAGUGCGUUUCUUUUUAGCUUUCUUGCCUGUGCCACUCUUGUGUUUUCUCAGCGGCUCCUGGCUUCCUCCCUCUCUGAGCUCCUGGGCCAGCUCACACAGCCUCACGGUCAAAUCCCCUGAGAGGGCCUCGGAGGGGCCGGGGCCCAAGCCAGAGACCCCUGCUGCUCAGCCUAGGCUGGGGUCCAAGGCCUCGUGGCAGCCUGGCAGGGGAGCAGGCUCCUGGUCCUGCUAAGGACCUCCCUUCCCUUCCCUCCUUUGAAUAAUUGUGGUUUAUGCACCCGAAAGUUACAUUAAUCUUUACAAAUUAACACAGAAAGAACACAAGAAAUAGCGAAAACUUGGAAGCAGCUCAAGUGCCCGUCAGCUGGAGACUGGGUAAAGAAAAUAUGUUUUGUUUUGUUUUUAUAAAAUGGAGUACUACUCAGCCAUAAAGAAUGAGAAACUCGAGUCAUUUAUAGCUAAAUGGAUGCAUUUU
This is a long non-coding RNA of Heterocephalus glaber (naked mole-rat), 4765 nucleotides long. RefSeq lists it as uncharacterized. The record is from RefSeq and is a predicted model, not a curated record. NCBI's taxonomy places the organism in Eukaryota, Metazoa, Chordata, Mammalia, Rodentia, Bathyergidae.